RNAcentral lists this ribosomal RNA (522 nucleotides) under uncultured bacterium. Its description in RNAcentral is "bacterial SSU rRNA". It matches the Rfam family "Bacterial small subunit ribosomal RNA", at positions 777 to 1297 of the family's 1533-position model. The record is from RNAcentral.
AAUAGAUACCCAGGUAGUCCACGCCGUAAACGAUGAGUGCUAAGUGUUAGAGGGUUUCCGCCCUUUAGUGCUGCAGCUAACGCAUUAAGCACUCCGCCUGGGGAGUACGGCCGCAAGGCUGAAACUCAAAGGAAUUGACGGGGGCCCGCACAAGCGGUGGAGCAUGUGGUUUAAUUCGAAGCAACGCGAAGAACCUUACCAGGUCUUGACAUCCUCUGCCAACCCUAGAGAUAGGGCGUUCCCCUUCGGGGGACAGAGUGACAGGUGGUGCAUGGUUGUCGUCAGCUCGUGUCGUGAGAUGUUGGGUUAAGUCCCGCAACGAGCGCAACCCUUGAUCUUAGUUGCCAGCAUUCAGUUGGGCACUCUAAGGUGACUGCCGGUGACAAACCGGAGGAAGGUGGGGAUGACGUCAAAUCAUCAUGCCCCUUAUAACCUGGGCUACACACGUGCUACAAUGGAUGGUACAAAGAGCUGCGAACCCGCGAGGGUAAGCGAAUCUCAUAAAGCCAUUCUCAGUUCGAA